CAUGCAAGUCGAACGGAAAGUGCCCUUCGGAGUGACUCGAGUGGCGAACGGGUGAGUAACACGUGGGUGAUCUGCCCUGCACUUUGGGAUAAGCCUGGGAAACUGGGUCUAAUACCGGAUAGGACCAUGGCCUUCAUGGGUUGUGGUGGAAAGCUUUUGCGGUGUGGGAUGGGCCCGCGGCCUAUCAGCUUGUUGGUGGGGUAAUGGCCUACCAAGGCGACGACGGGUAGCCGGCCUGAGAGGGUGUCCGGCCACACUGGGACUGAGAUACGGCCCAGACUCCUACGGGAGGCAGCAGUGGGGAAUAUUGCACAAUGGGCGCAAGCCUGAUGCAGCGACGCCGCGUGAGGGAUGACGGCCUUCGGGUUGUAAACCUCUUUCAGUAGGGACGAAGCGUAAGUGACGGUACCUAUAGAAGAAGCACCGGCCAACUACGUGCCAGCAGCCGCGGUAAUACGUAGGGUGCGAGCGUUGUCCGGAAUUACUGGGAGUAAAGAGCUCGUAGGUGGUUUGUCGCGUUGUUCGUGAAAACUCACA
RNAcentral lists this ribosomal RNA (537 nucleotides) under uncultured Mycobacterium sp. RNAcentral describes it as "bacterial SSU rRNA". It matches the Rfam family "Bacterial small subunit ribosomal RNA", at positions 54 to 606 of the family's 1533-position model. The record is from RNAcentral. Lineage: Bacteria; Bacillati; Actinomycetota; Actinomycetes; Mycobacteriales; Mycobacteriaceae.